Molecule: transfer RNA, 56 nt
Filed under: Micronychus sp. UPOL MT0035
Lineage: Eukaryota; Metazoa; Arthropoda; Insecta; Coleoptera; Lycidae
Description: partial tRNA-Ser
Source: RNAcentral
AAAGAAAUAUUAUUAAGAAGCUUCUAACUUCUCAAAGAGCAAUAUAUGUUCAUAUU